ACUCAAAGGAAUUGACGGGGGCUCACACAAGCGGUGGAGCAUGUUGCUUAAUUCGAGGCAACGCGAAGAACCUUACCUGGGCUUGACAUGUACGGAUUAACCCCUUGAAAGAGGGGCCACAGCCGCAAGGCCGGAACGUGCACAGGUGCUGCAUGGCUGUCGUCAGCUCGUGCUGUGAAGUGUCGGGUUAAGUCCCUUAACGAGCGCAACCCCUGUCGUUAGUUGCUCACGGGUAAUGCCGAGUACUCUAGCGAGACUGCCGGUGUCAAACCGGAGGAAGGUGGGGAUGACGUCAAGUCCUCAUGGCCCUUACGUCCAGGGUUGCAAACGUGCUACAAUGGCGCGUACAAAGCGAUGCGAGAUCGCGAGAUGGAGCAAAUCGCAAAAAGCGCGCCCCAGUUCGGAUUGCAGGCUGCAACUCGCCUGCAUGAAGUCGGAAUCGCUAGUAAUCGGAGAUCAGCUACGCUCCGGUGAAUGUGUUCCUGAGCCUUGUACACACCGCCCGU
This 506-nucleotide ribosomal RNA is filed under the name uncultured bacterium. Its description in RNAcentral is "partial 16S ribosomal RNA". It matches the Rfam family "Bacterial small subunit ribosomal RNA", at positions 899 to 1397 of the family's 1533-position model. The record is from RNAcentral.